RNAcentral lists this long non-coding RNA (526 nucleotides) under Cavia porcellus (domestic guinea pig). Its description in RNAcentral is "lncRNA (ENSCPOG00000034432.1)". Lineage: Eukaryota; Metazoa; Chordata; Mammalia; Rodentia; Caviidae. The record is from RNAcentral.
GCUCGAGCAGCAUAAGGAUUGGGAGGGUGUCAAAAAAUCCGCGUCAAGGGGUCGUCCGCGGAGAAGGACACUUGCGAGGGCGUGUCGCCCCCGUCCUACCCAGGCCUGGGGCUGUGCCCUGUACGCGCCGGGGCGGCUCAGGGUCAAGUGAGAGCCCGGGGAGAGGGGACGUGGCCGAGGGGACGCUCCGGCGUCUCCGGCGGGCUUCCCAACGAGUGACAUCUGUGGCCGCGUGUAGAGAAUCAGAGUCUCAUAAUGCUCUCUGCUGCCUGCUGUAUUGACCCACAAACUACAAAUCAGUCAACGUUAAAGAAAACUUUAAGAAUUUUCUGUUUCCUGUGACUUUCACACAAGACUGAACUCCAACUAACAAACAAGUUUCUUUUCAAAAGUUUACUUUGAAAAUAGUUCUCUAUGUUUAUAUCCUGGGCAUUUGAAAGUUGGGUGUUUGUCAUUCAAAGAGUAUGACAGUGUCAAAAUUAGAUUUUAGAAAUGCAAUAAAGUUUCUUAUGAUGUGGAUUUAAAU